AACUUCCACAAACAGGAUCAGCUUACUACAGUUGGAAGGACAGCACUAACCAUCUCAAUGUCAUUAUUCAGGAAUGCUGGCAAGACACACCUUUGCAUAUCACAAACAUGAAGCUAAUCUAUCAUUUAGUAGCACUAGUCACAGCCACUUAUGAGUUUCUCCCAGCUACUGUUUUGUUGCCUUCUUCACUCUUUACUGUACCUUACCUUAAAAUCAUAAAUCCAUCAGGCCAGAAACAACAUUAUUUUAAUUCACACUUCUCCAGUACCUACAGACUGGGCAUUAAGCCUCACUAGAACCCACUGGAACUACUGGAAAUGUGCAUAAGAACUACUAAACAUGCUCCUCCCAGCUCUUGAUUUCUCUUUCCCUGAAUGUCCAUCUGCUCCCUGUACAUAAAGCCCUGCUUGCAAAAGUAUGUCAUUAUAAGACUGGUCUCUAUCAUCUGUGAAAAACUGUAACAAUUGCAUGAGGUCCCCAGUGACAGGAAGGGGUAUGUAUCAUGUCACCUUUUUAAAAAGGCAGGAAGAAAGUUCUGGGGAUCUUUCCUACACAGGCUAGUCAGCCCUACAUCAGUCCCUUGUAGCUUUAUGGAGCAAGUUCUGGAAGCCAUUUCCAGGCACCCAAAGGACAAGAAGGUGACUAGGAACAGGCAGCCAGAUUAAAUGAGGGAAAAUCAUGCCUAUGAACCUGACUGCCUCCUAUGAUGAAAUGACAGGCUCUGAGAAUGCACAGAGGGCAGUGGAUGCUGUUUACAUUGACUUCAGCAAGCCUCUCGAUGCAGUCAUUCAUAGCAUCCUUAUAGCCAAAUGAGGGAGCUGUGGACUGGAUGCCAUCCACUAAAAAAGGUCAGCACGAAAUUGGUUGAACUGUCAGGCUCAAAGAAUAAUGAUCAACGGUUUGAAAUCUGAGUGAUGGUCAGUUACGAAAUGCAUGAUACAGAAGACAAUACUGGGAUUGAUACUGUUCAGUGAUCAUUAGUGAUGUGGUGGAAAGAGACAGAACAUACUCUCAGAGAACAUACUCUCAGAAAUAAUGGCAUGUUGGGGAGGACAGCCAUGGAUAUACUGGAGGGGGGUACCACCUAGAGGAACCUUGACAGAUUGGAGGAAUGAAAAGACAGAAACCUCAUGAGCAGAAUAGUUCAGUUGGAAUGGACCUACAACAAUCAUCUAGCCCAAUUGCCUGACCACUUCAGGGAUGACCAAAAGUUAAAGUAUAAUAAUUUAAGGGCAUUGUUCAAAUGCCUCAAACACUGACAGGCAUGGAGCAUUGACCACCUCUCUAGGAAGCCUGCUCUAGUGUUCGACUACCCUCUCUAUACAGAAGCGUUUUCUAAUGUCAAGUCUGAACCUCCCCUGACACACCUUUGAACCAUUUCCAUGUGUCCUGUCACUGGAUACCAAGGAGGAGAGCUCAGCACCUCGCUCUCCAGUUUCCCUCCUCACAAAGCUGUAGAGAGCAAUGAGCUCAUCCUUCAAUUACCUUUUCUUCAAACUAGAUAAACCCAGAGUCCUCAGCCACUCCUAACAGGAUAGGCCUUCCAGUCCUUUCACCAGCUUUGUUGCCCUCCUCUAGACACGUUCAAGGACCUUCGCAACCUUUUUAAAUUGUAGAGCCCAGAACAGCACACAGUAUUCAAGGUGAAGCCACACCAACACUAAAUACAGAGGGAUAAUCACAUCUUUUGACCAGCUGGUUAUGCUGUGUUUGAUGUACCCCAGGAUGCUGUUUGCCCUCAUGGCUGCCAGGGCACACUGCUGACUGCUGACUAGCUUCGCCAGAACCCUUUCUGCAGGGCUGCUUGCCAGCCACUCCUCUCCCAGUUUAUACUUGUGUCCAGCAUUACUCCGUCCCAGGUACAGAAUCUGGCACAGUUAAAUUUCAUGCCAUUGAUGAUUGCCCAAUGCUCCAAUCUAUCUAGAUUGCUCUGCAAGGCCUCUUGUCCUUGAGAGGUCAACAGCACCUCCCACUUUAGUAUCAUCAACAAAGUUGCUAAUGGUGCACUCAGCUCCUGCAUCCAAAUCAUUGAUAAAUACACUGAACAGAACUGUCCCUAGAAUCAAACCCUGAGGAACACCACAGGUGACUGGUCACCAGGCAGAUAGAGUCCCAUUCACUGCAGUCCUUUGAGCCCUGCUGUUCAGCCAGUUCUUCAACCAGCACACUGCGUACUGGCUCAUUUUGCAGUUGGACAGCUUGUCCAGAAGGGCACUGUGAGGGAAGUAUCAAGAGCCUUACUGAAAUCCAGAAAAUCUACAUCCACGACCUUCCCUUCAUCUCCUAGGUCAGUGACCUUAUUAUAGAAGGAUAUCAAAUUAGUUAAACAGGACUUUCCUUUUGUCAACCCAUGUUGAUUGUGCCUGAUGCUUGCAUUGUCCUUUAAAUGCCUUUCAACAGCACCCAGUAUGAUCUUCUCCAUAAUUUUUCCAGGUACUAAGGUUAGACUAACAGGUCUGUAAGUUUCCUUGUAAACUGGAAUAACAUUGUCCAGCUUCCCAUCAGCAGGGACCUCCCCAGACUCCCAAGACCUUUCGCAGACGAUUGAGAGGGGUCCUGCUGCAAGAUCCACAAGCUCCUUCGGUUCUUAGGGAUGAAUCUCAUCCAGCCUCAUAGACUUAUGAACAUUCAACUGAUACAAUUGGUCCCUUACAAUUUCAGUGUCCACAAAUGGAAAAUCAACAUUCCUGCAGUCACAGUCCUCCAACGCAGAUGACCAGGCAGUCCAAGGUCUAUCAGUAUUAUUAGAGACUGAGGAAAAAAAGCUUUGAAUGCCUCCACCUUUUCUUCAUCCCGAUUUGUCAGGUGACCAUCUCCAACACAUAUCAACCCAAUGUUUUCCUUAGACCUUUUCUUGCUAUUAAUGUAUUUCAAAAAGCCUUUCUUGCUGUCUGACUCAACACUGGCCAGUUUAAACCCUAAUUAAGCUUUGGCCUUUUGUGUAUUCUCCCUGCAUAUGCCAACCACAGCUGUAUAAUCUUCCUGUGAAGCCUGACCUUACUUCCAGAGAUCAAACAAUGAGUUCCAAGAUGAGUUCCCUGUUCAGCCAAACUGGUCUUCUGCACUGCUUGCUUGACUUUCAACACAAAGGGAUUGCCUGCUUUUGUGCUUUUAAAAGGUGGUUCUUGAAAACAGACCAGUACUCAUGGACGCCUAAGCCCUCAAAAGUAGAUUCCAAAGGGACACUGCUAACUAGCUCACUGAAUAGCUUAAAGUUAUCUCUCUUGAAACCUAGGGUAGCAACUCUACUGAUCAUUUUUCUGAUUAUGUUAAAAAUCUUAAACUCAAGCAUUUCGUGGUCACUGUGCCCAAGACAGCGACCUACCAUCACAUCUUCCACAAGUCCUUUGCUAUUCACAAAUAUGAAGUCUAGGAGGGCAUCUUUCCUAGAUGGCUCACUGAGUGCUUGUGACAAAUUAUUUUCAACAUACUUCAGGAAUUUGCCAGACUUGCUUGUCACAGCAGUAUGGUAUUCCCAGUUAUGUCUGGGAAGUUGAAGUCUCCCAUAAGGACAAAGACAGAAAAAAAACUGGAGAGAAGACAAACCUGGAAAAAGACUGGAGAGUCCUGGUGGACAAGUGGAAUAUGAGUGAACUGUGUAUCUUUGAAGCACUAAUCACACACUAGACCUCCUUAGUAGAAGCACAGCUACCAAAUCAAGGAACAUUAUUAUUAUUCUUUUCUACUCAUCUGAAGCACUGUGUCCUUCACUGCGAGUACUGUGUAAGUACUCCAUGAGUUCUAAGGAAUCUGCCUUAGAGGGAAAGAGACGAAACAAUGCACCUAGUUCAUUCAUCGAAGAAUGCUGCAAAUAUUCAAAUCUGCAUCAAGCUACUGAAGUCUGAAAAUGAAUUUUAAUAAAUACCCUGGAGUAACAAGAUGUGUGAUUCAUUUAGCAUGUCUACCAUUCCAGAGAAACAAAUUUGGUUGAGAGUCUGACUGACCUGCAAAUGGAUUCUAACUUAUAAAUAGAAAAGACAAAGGCAGCUGCAAGAACAUGAGUCUCCUGGCAUUUCAGAAAGUUGACAUGGCAGGAAGUAUGGCUUACCAAGACAAGGCCUGCCACAGUUACUCCUCCUUAUUGCCACAGGUACAUUCAACCUUUAAGGCAAGGAAGACCUCCUAGAAGCUUACAGCCUAAGUAAGGCUUAACCAGAUGAACAGUGCUAUUGACCUCAAUAGGAAAAUCUGAUAAAUUAUCUUUCCCUGCCCCUAGAGAAAAAAACUCAACUGCACAAAUCUUCUUUUAGGGAACCUCCCUGUCACUGAAACAGCCUACAAGUUAGGUUACAAGGCUUCCAAUCCUAAAAUUUAUCUGCAGGUUGUAAAGAGAAUGUGACCACCUUUCCUCCUUCAUUGUGUUCAUUAAGUACUAGACAGCCAAGCUACUACUCUUCAGGUUUACCUUCUCAUUGUAUGUUCUAGAUUACAGGCCCUACAGUGCUGAGAGUUCUUGUGCUACCUCUUAAGCACCAUUGCUCAAAAUAACUACAAAAUAAAACAAUCCAAUGGCUACUUUAAAACAGGAACACUCCUCUCUCCACAAAAUCCUUACAGCUUGUCCUGUAAUCCAAACUGACCUCUGUACUCCUUCAGCAAGGUAAAAAGGCUUUCCUGUUCUAAUUAGUUCUAAAAUGUACUACCACCAAAAAAAAA
This is a long non-coding RNA of Athene cunicularia (burrowing owl), 4656 nucleotides long. RefSeq lists it as uncharacterized. NCBI's taxonomy places the organism in Eukaryota, Metazoa, Chordata, Aves, Strigiformes, Strigidae. The record is from RefSeq and is a predicted model, not a curated record. The transcript has 3 exons.